RNAcentral lists this long non-coding RNA (823 nucleotides) under Mytilus galloprovincialis (Mediterranean mussel). Lineage: Eukaryota; Metazoa; Mollusca; Bivalvia; Mytilida; Mytilidae. The record is from RNAcentral.
GUUUGGCAAAAUAACCUCAGUCAAGAGGAAAAUCUACUUGUGUUUAAACAAGUUCAACAAUUUUUAGUAGAUUCAAAGCCAUUUGGAAUAUAUAGUAUUUCAUGGUUAGGAUCGUAAUUGGGUGAGACAGUCUUGACAAAGUCCUGGACACACACCAACCCGGUACAUAUCAUAUAGGAAAGAUCAGACAAAAAAAAUCAACUUUUUAUUUGCAGUUAUUUGCCUUUUUUUACAGGGAGACUGAUUAAUAUAUGAAGGGAAAUACUGAUUCGAAUCCCUUAGUAAUGUAUUUCUGUAAUUAUAUGCAUAUGACAUGUAUAUAUGUACAUGUUUUUUUUUAUAUGAUAUGUUUUAAAGAAAAAAAAACCCAGGUAUUUCAGGGGGAAAGGUUGGUAACCGGGAAAAAAAUACAUAACAGUUAGAUGCAGAGAGUUCAGGGAAUAUAAUGGAAUAGCAUUUUCUAAUAGCAUUAAACGUGUUUGUAAACCGUCGAAGAUCAGACUUGGGGCUUCAGUGACUAAAAUUUAAAAAAAAUCACUGUGACUAGGACUGGUCUAUCAUUAUGUACUUUAUUUCUAAGGAUCAUGCAAAGGUUGGCACGUCUACUAUGUGAAUGCUAGAUUUAUAUCCACGGCGAAUAUUCGUAACACUUGCUUUCAGAUUUUAGCGUCACGGAACGCUAAAUACUUUUAUUUUUUUUUCGAUAUCACACAGUAGAUUGCAGAUUUGUAGAGUGUAUAACUCCAAAAUUACGAGAAAUAAUAUACAACCAAGUGUCGCACGGAACUUUUGAACAUUUAGUUUAUUAUAUAUAAAAUUCACA